Molecule: unclassified non-coding RNA, 348 nt
Filed under: soil metagenome
Description: partial contains 5.8S ribosomal RNA, internal transcribed spacer 2, and large subunit ribosomal RNA
Rfam family: 5.8S ribosomal RNA (bases 1-120)
Source: RNAcentral
GAUGAAGAACGCAGCGAAAUGCGAUAAGUAAUGUGAAUUGCAGAAUUCAGUGAAUCAUCGAAUCUUUGAACGCACAUUGCGCCCGCCAGUAUUCUGGCGGGCAUGCCUGUCCGAGCGUCAUUUCAACCCUCGAACCCCUCCGGGGGGUCGGCGUUGGGGAUCGGCCCCUCACCGGGCCGCCCCCGAAAUCCAGUGGCGGUCUCGCCGCAGCCUCUCCUGCGCAGUAGUUUGCACACUCGCACCGGGAGCGCGGCGCGGCCACAGCCGUAAAACACCCCAAACUCUGAAAUGUUGACCUCGGAUCAGGUAGGAAUACCCGCUGAACUUAAGCAUAUCAAUAAGCGGGGA